GAUGAACGCUGGCGGCGUGCUUAACACAUGCAAGUCGAACGAAGCAUUUAGAACGGAUUACUUCGGUUUGAAGUUCUUUAUGACUGAGUGGCGGACGGGUGAAUAACGCGUGGGUAACCUGCCUUGUACUGGGGGAUAGCAGCUGGAAACGGCUGGUAAUACCGCAUAAGCGCACAAUGUUGCAUGACAUGGUGUGAAAAACUCCGGUGGUAUAGAUGGACCCGCGUCUGAUUAGCUAGUUGGUGAGAUAACAGCCCACCAAGGCGACGAUCAGUAGCCGACCUGAGAGGGUGACCGGCCACAUUGGGACUGAGACACGGCCCAGACUCCUACGGGAGGCAGCAGUGGGGAAUAUUGCACAAUGGAGGAAACUCUGAUGCAGCGACGCCGCGUGAGUGAAGAAGUAAUUCGUUAUGUAAAGCUCUAUCAGCAGGGAAGAUAGUGACGGUACCUGUCUAAGAAGCUCCGGCUAAAUACUUGCCAGCAGCCGCCGUAA
This 496-nucleotide ribosomal RNA is filed under the name uncultured bacterium. Its description in RNAcentral is "partial 16S ribosomal RNA". It matches the Rfam family "Bacterial small subunit ribosomal RNA", at positions 28 to 523 of the family's 1533-position model. The record is from RNAcentral.